UCCUCCGCUUAUUGAUAUGCUUAAGUUCAGCGGGUAUUCCUACCUGAUCCGAGGUCAACAUUCAGAAGUUGGGGUUUAACGGCGUGGCCGCGACGAUUACCAGUAACGAGGGUUUUACUACUACGCUAUGGAAGCUCGACGUGACCGCCAAUCAAUUUGGGGAACGCGAAUUAACGCGAGUCCCAACACCAAGCUGUGCUUGAGGGUUGAAAUGACGCUCGAACAGGCAUGCCCGCCAGAAUACUGGCGGGCGCAAUGUGCGUUCAAAGAUUCGAUGAUUCACUGAAUUCUGCAAUUCACAUUACUUAUCGCAUUUUGCUGCGUUCUUCAUCGAUGCCAGAACCAAGAGAUCCGUUGUUGAAAGUUUUGAUUUAUUUAUGGUUUUACUCAGAAGUUACAUAUAGAAACAGAGUUUAGGGGUCCUCUGGCGGGCCGUCCCGUUUUACCGGGAGCGGGCUGAUCCGCCGAGGCAACAAGUGGUAUGUUCACAGGGGUUUGGGAGUUGUAAACUCGGUAAUGAUCCCUCCGCAGGUUCACCUACG
This 542-nucleotide unclassified non-coding RNA is filed under the name Fusarium oxysporum. RNAcentral describes it as "sequence contains ITS1, 5.8S rRNA gene, ITS2". The record is from RNAcentral. Lineage: Eukaryota; Fungi; Ascomycota; Sordariomycetes; Hypocreales; Nectriaceae.